UACGAAGGGAGCAAGCGUUGUCCGGAUUUAUUGGGCGUAAAGAGCGUGUAGGCGGCCAGACAGGUCCGUUGUGAAAACUGGAGGCUUAACCUCCAGACGUCGAUGGAAACCGUCUGGCUAGAGUCCGGAAGAGGAGAGUGGAAUUCCUGGUGUAGCGGUGAAAUGCGCAGAUAUCAGGAAGAACACCCGUGGCGAAGGCGGUUCUCUGGGACGGUACUGACGCUGAGACGCGAAAGCGUGGGGAGCGAACAGG
This 253-nucleotide ribosomal RNA is filed under the name uncultured bacterium. RNAcentral describes it as "partial 16S ribosomal RNA". It matches the Rfam family "Bacterial small subunit ribosomal RNA", at positions 524 to 776 of the family's 1533-position model. The record is from RNAcentral.